Molecule: ribosomal RNA, 406 nt
Filed under: uncultured bacterium
Lineage: Bacteria
Description: partial 16S ribosomal RNA
Rfam family: Bacterial small subunit ribosomal RNA
Source: RNAcentral
AUUGAACGCUGGCGGCAGGCUUAACACAUGCAAGUCGAGCGAGCGGCGGACGGGUGAGGAAUGUCUGGGAAAAUGCCUGAUGGAGGGGGAUAACUACGGGAAACGGUAGCUAAUAACGCAUACCCACAGAGGUGCCCGGAUGGGAUGAGCUAGGAGGUGGGGUAAGGGCACACCUAGGCGACGCUCCCUAGGUGGUGUUAGAGGAUGACCAGCCAAGCGGGAGCUGAGACAGGCGCCAAAUGCCGACGGGAGGCAGCAGUGUGGAAUAUUGCACAAUGGGGGCAAGCCUGAGGCAGCUCUGCCGCGUGUGUGAAGAAGGCCUUCGGGUUGUAAAGCUCUUUCAGCGAGGAGGCGUUACUCUCAGAAGAAGCACCGGCUAACUCCGUGCCAGCAGCCGCGGUAAUUC